Molecule: RNA transcript, 3343 nt
Organism: Papaver somniferum (opium poppy)
Lineage: Eukaryota; Viridiplantae; Streptophyta; Magnoliopsida; Ranunculales; Papaveraceae
Exons: 26
Source: RefSeq, a predicted model, not a curated record
AGCAACCAACCCCUCAUUCCCACCCCCACCACCUCUUGGUCCUCUUUUCUGAAAGAUUCUCUACCUCUUUUUCUUUCUUUCUCUCUUUCCCAUUUGCAGGCAGCAGUAGUCCUCUGCAAUCAACAGCGACAUCAUCAAUUAGGUACGAACUACGAAAAUGGAUAACGAGGUAGUUCAGAGAGUAUUUGAAGGUGGAGGUCGUGAUUAUCGCCAUCACCAACAACAGCAGCAGCAGCAACAAUCUUCUACUUCUUCUUCGUCGAUUCUCCAAUCCCUUCCGCUCCAUGUGACGUUUGAUCAUGGAUAUUAUUUGUUAGUAAAAUCUAUUCAAGAGCUUCGAGAAAAAAAAGAUGGUACAGUGAUAGUUGGCAUUGGUGGUCCUAGUGGCUCUGGUAAAACUAGUUUAGCAGAGAAGGUAGCAUCUGUAAUUGGCUGUGCUCGUGUAUCGAUGGAGAACUAUCGUAAAGGAGCUGAUGAAGUGAAUGAUCUUAAUUCGAUAGAUUUUGAUGCUUUAGUUCGGAAUCUCGAGGAUCUGUUGAACGGUAAAGAUGCAGUGAUGCCGUUGUUUGAUUUCCAAGAAAAGAAACAUAUUGGUUCAAAAACAAUAAAGAGCUCUUCGACAGGGGUGGUGAUUGUUGACGGUACUUAUGCUCUGCACUCAAAGUUGCGCUCUCUGCUUGAUAUUCGGGUUGCAGUAGUUGGUGGUGUGCAUUUCAGCCUGCUUUCCAAAGUACGAUAUGACAUUGGGGAUUCUUGUUCGUUGGAUUCCCUCAUUGACAGCAUCUUCCCACUGUUCAGAAAGGAUAUUGAGCCGGACCUCCAUCAUGCUCAGAUUAGAAUCAACAACAGCUUUGUUUCAUCUUUUAGGGAGCCUAUCUACAAACUGAAAUGCAAAGAGUCUCCCGAUGGACAUUCUGCUCUCAUUUUCCGUGGAAUUGAAACACAAACAGAUAAUUUUAUCGAGAUGUACCUCAGGCCACCUUCAGCAUCUGAAGAAGCACGAAUCAAUGACUGGAUAAAGGUGCGACAGGCUGGUAUAAAAUAUUACUUGUCACUAGGUGACCAGAGGAUCGUCGACAAAAGUUACAUUAUCAGACCAAAAGCCGAGUUUGAGGUUGGAAGGAUGACUUUAGGUGGACUUCUUGCUUUGGGGUACACUGUUGUUGUCAGUUAUAAGCGGGCAUCUACAUCGUUUAAUAAUGGGAAAGUGUCAAUAUCACUUGAAACUAUUGACACUCUUGGGAAGACAUUCUUGGUGUUGAGGGGCACAGAUAGGAGGGUUCUUGGAACAGAAGUCUCCAGGAUGUGUAUUGAGGGACCAUGGAUCACAAAGUCGUAUCUGGAAAUGAGUCUUGAAAGCAGAGGUGUGCCUCGUCUAAAUACACCGCCACCUUUAUCUAGUACAUCCUUGACUCAAGUGCAAGAGAAGGCCCUCCAAGCCCCAAAGCCAAUCCGUGUUACUUCAAACAUUGUUAACAGUCUUGAGGACCUAACUCAGCCAUGGACACGGUCCCCAACAAAGUCUCAAAUGGAGCCUGUAUUAGCAACUUGGCGCUUCACUUCCUCGGUCGGUGGACAUACUGACAAUUCUUCUUUCAGGGGUACCAUGCAGCUUGCUCCAAUGCCUGAUUCAUACGACUUGGAUAGAGGGUUGCUUCUAGCUGUUCAAGCAAUCCAGGCUGUGCUGGAGAAUAAGGGGCUCCCAGUUAUUGUUGGCAUUGGGGGUCCAAGUGGUUCGGGCAAAACUAGUUUAGCUCAUAAAAUGGCAAACAUAGUUGGUUGUGAAGUCAUUUCACUUGAAAGCUAUUAUAAAUCUGAACAAGUGAAGGACUUUAAGUUUGAUAACUUUAGUUCUAUUGAUCAGCAUUUACUUUCAAAGAACAUUGAUAACAUAAGGAACCGUCGACGGACAAAGGUGCCUAUAUUUGAUCUAGAGAACUGUACUCGCAAUGGUUUCAAGGAACUUCAAGUUUCCGAGGAUUGUGGAGUGAUAAUUUUUGAAGGGGUUUAUGCCUUGCACCCGGAUAUUCGUAAAUCACUCGACUUGUGGAUAGCUGUUGUUGGAGGUGUGCAUUCGCAUCUAAUUGCCAGAGUACAGAGAGACAAGAACAGGACUGGGUGUUAUAUGUCACAGGAUGAAAUUAUGACAACAGUAUUUCCAAUGUUUCAGCAGUACAUUGAACCCCACCUUGUUCAUGCACAUCUGAAAAUUCGAAAUGACUUUGAUCCUGUUCUUUCUCCUGAGAGUUCUCUUUUUGUUCUGAAAAGCAAUAAACAGGUUGGAUAUCAGGACAUUCUGAAACUACUUGAUCGUGCAAAGUUUUGCAGUUCUGUUCAGAAUUUCACUGAUAUAUACUUGCGGCUUCCUGGACCACCUAAUAAUGGGAGCCUCACAGAAAGUGAGUGCAUAAGAGUUAGAUUAUGUGAAGGCAGAUUUGCUUUACUGAUACGAGAGCCUAUACGGGAAGGCGACUUUAUCAUACAACCAAAAGUGGAUUUCGAUAUCAGCAUUACCACAGUUUCUGGCCUUCUUAAUCUUGGGUAUCAAGCAGUAGCUUACAUUGAAGCAUCCGCAUUGAUCUAUCAAGAUGGAAAGAUUCUGAUCGAGGUUGAUCAUCUCCAAGAUAUCCCGAGCCCAUAUUUACAGAUUAAAGGAACAAACAGGGAAGUAGUAGCCACUGCUGGUUCAGCACUUGAUCUAGACGGUUCAUAUACCACUAAGAGUUAUCUUCAAAUUAUUCUGGAAAGUUUGCCAGCAUUUGAAAGAAGCUCGUCCGGAAUCCAUCGCCAUCAAGCUACACGACUUCAGGAACUUGUUGAAUUCAUACAAAGUCAGUUCUUAUAUGGGUGGAUUACAGGGGAACAAUUCAGUUGGAGAAUCCUCACCAAGCAGGGAUAGUUUACCAAUGGAAAGCAUAAUCGAAGACAUGCAGUCACGGAUCAGAAAGCUCGAACGAUGGCAUACAGUCAAUACGGUCCUCUGGACACUUCUAAUGUCUGCUCUUGUUGGGUAUUCGCUCUACCAACGAAAACGUCAGUAACAAUGACCGUACAAGUGAAUUUGCUGGAACACCAGCAGCUUUGGAUGCCCCUAUUAUUAUUUUUUGGUACUUUCGCAUGGACCUUGGUAACUCAUCAAUGAUAGGGGUAUUAGGGUUCAUCUGUAUAAAAUAAAAUACAUUGGUUUUAAGUAGAGGAUCCAAGCAUGUUAUCUCUUAAAAUCAGUACCAUCACCUGUCCCUGAUCGGACUGUGGUUCAAACGAACCCGCCUUGAUUGAAUUGUAUAUAUAUAUACAAUUUUGAAGCUGACUAGUUUUACCAAAUGUACCACUCUUUGUUGAA